Molecule: non-coding RNA, 107 nt
Organism: Crucibulum laeve
Lineage: Eukaryota; Fungi; Basidiomycota; Agaricomycetes; Agaricales; Nidulariaceae
Source: the annotation of a GenBank genome assembly
UGCCCCAUGGCUGAGUUGGUUACAGCGUCCGACUGUUAAGUUUGUAGCUCCUAAAACCUACUGCUUGUGUAAUCGGAAGGUCGAGAGUUCGAGCCUCUCUGGGGCAG